This 253-nucleotide ribosomal RNA is filed under the name uncultured bacterium. RNAcentral's name for it is "partial 16S ribosomal RNA". It matches the Rfam family "Bacterial small subunit ribosomal RNA", at positions 524 to 776 of the family's 1533-position model. The record is from RNAcentral.
UACGAAGGGGGCUAGCGUUGUUCGGAAUCACUGGGCGUAAAGGGCGCGUAGGCGGCUUUAUAAGUCGGGGGUGAAAGCCUGUGGCUCAACCACAGAAUUGCCUUCGAUACUGUAGAGCUUGAGACCGGAAGAGGUAAGUGGAACUGCGAGUGUAGAGGUGAAAUUCGUAGAUAUUCGCAAGAACACCAGUGGCGAAGGCGGCUCACUGGCCCGGUACUGACGCUGAGGUGCGAAAGCGUGGGGAGCAAACGGG